Long non-coding RNA from Empidonax traillii (willow flycatcher), 478 nucleotides. RefSeq lists it as uncharacterized. NCBI's taxonomy places the organism in Eukaryota, Metazoa, Chordata, Aves, Passeriformes, Tyrannidae. The transcript is spliced from 3 exons. The record is from RefSeq and is a predicted model, not a curated record.
CUUCACCACCACCCCGGGUAGCCCUUUCCAGUGUCUGAUCACCCCUUUUGUGAAAAAAUUCCUCCCAGUGUCCAGCCUAAACCUCCUUAGGCGCAGCUUGAGACCGUGUCCUCUCAUGCUGUCACGAGUUCCCUGGAAGCAGAGCCCGACCUCCACCUGGCCACAGCCUCCUUGCAGGUUCAAUUUCUCAUGUAAAGCUCAGGGCUGAGAGGCAGAAAGCACUUCCUGGGAGAUGGAGGCUCUUGUAAUUCCUUUUUGGAGACUGGAGAGUCCAUGGGCUACUUGUCCCAGUUUCUGAAUUACUGGUCUUCAGCAUGAUCAACAUCAGGAAAUGUGAACAUGAAUUAAAUCCAAAAUGCAUCUUAUUGUGUAAAAGUCAUACCCAUAGAAAUGGUUUAAAACGAGGCUACAUCACCUCAGAAUGCUCUACUGCCCUUAAGAUCAUUGAAGCAAGGGUCUUGAAGAAGAUGGAAUGAAC